This 407-nucleotide long non-coding RNA is filed under the name Calidris pygmaea (Spoon-billed sandpiper). RNAcentral's name for it is "lncRNA (ENSCPGG00000006138.1)". Lineage: Eukaryota; Metazoa; Chordata; Aves; Charadriiformes; Scolopacidae. The record is from RNAcentral.
CACAGGAAUAGCCCUGCUAUCCUGAGAUGAGCACCUGCUUUUCAUUCCUCUAUUUCUUUGAAGUGUUCCAAGGUUGCCAGGGUGUCUCAGUGAAGAAAGUGGUUCUGUUCCGCUUACAAGCAAAGGGUAUGGCAAGAAGCACGACUGGACCAUGGAAAUACUGGUCACCUGCAGACAAAACACUGGAAAAAAAGACCGUGAAAGCUAUCUUCUGUCUGGAGUUGGUAAUGUGGCAGGCAUUUCCAACACCUCCCUCUUUUGGCUCCACAAGACUCCUGUGAAGAGCUAGCUGCUGCUCAUGUAUUGCUUGCAUAGCCUGGCUCUUCACUCUGUGUAAGUCCUCUGAGCAGAGGAAUGUCAAUUCCAUUUUCAUUGUUAUUUUGGCUAAGAAAACGGUGAACUCUUGA